RNAcentral lists this ribosomal RNA (798 nucleotides) under uncultured Glomus. RNAcentral's name for it is "SSU rRNA". It matches the Rfam family "Eukaryotic small subunit ribosomal RNA", at positions 314 to 1114 of the family's 1831-position model. Lineage: Eukaryota; Fungi; Glomeromycota; Glomeromycetes; Glomerales; Glomeraceae. The record is from RNAcentral.
AUCAACUUUCGAUGGUAGGAUAGAGGCCUACCAUGGUGGUAACGGGUAACGGGGUGUUAGGGCACGACACCGGAGAGGGAGCNUGAGAAACGGCUACCACAUCCAAGGAUGGCAGCAGGCGCGCAAAUUACCCAAUCCCGACACGGGGAGGUAGUGACAAUAAAUAACAAUACGGGGUUCUUUCGGAUUUCGUAAUUGGAAUGAGUACAAUUUAAAUCUCUUAACGAGGAACAAUUGGAGGGCAAGUCUGGUGCCAGCAGCCGCGGUAAUUCCAGCUCCAAUAGCGUAUAUUAAAGUUGCUGCAGUUAAAAAGCUCGUAGUUGAAUUUCGGGACCAAUAUGUCGGUCGUGCCUCGGUACGUACUGGCAUCGUUGGUUUCUCCCUUCUGACGAACCAUGAUGUCAUUUAUUUGGUGUCAUGGGGAAUCAGGACUGUUACUUUGAAAAAAUUAGAGUGUUUAAAGCAGGCUCACGCUUGAAUACAUUAGCAUGGAAUAAUGAAAUAGGACGUUUGAUUCUAUUUUGUUGGUUUCUAGGAUUGACGUAAUGAUUAAUAGGGAUAGUUGGGGGCAUUAGUAUUCAAUUGUCAGAGGUGAAAUUCUUGGAUUUAUUGAAGACUAACUACUGCGAAAGCAUUUGCCAAGGAUGUUUUCAUUAAUCAAGAACGAAAGUUAGGGGAUCGAAGACGAUCAGAUACCGUCGUAGUCUUAACCAUAAACUAUGCCGACUAGGGAUCGGAUGAUGUUAAUUUUUUAAUGACUCAUUCGGCGCCUUACGGGAAACCAAAGUGUUUGGGUUC